This is a long non-coding RNA of Amphiprion ocellaris (clown anemonefish), 1622 nucleotides long. RefSeq lists it as uncharacterized. The transcript is spliced from 2 exons. Lineage: Eukaryota; Metazoa; Chordata; Actinopteri; Pomacentridae. The record is from RefSeq and is a predicted model, not a curated record.
CACCGACAGUCUGCAUGUUCGCCGACAUGUCGGAUAACUGACGGAGGGAAAACAAAAAGGAAGCAGCUCUGAGCAGUCGGUCUGGAGAUUUAACGGCUGCAAAAUCUACCUUUAAACAUUCUGUGUUGUUUGAAGAAUUAGAGCAUCAGGAGGUUAAAGGUUAAAGGAAUUCUCAGAGCACAAUUUUUUUACUCUUUGCACUGGUCCCAGUUCAUAAGUAUAUGAAGUUUGAAACUGGGAGAGAAAUAAUAGAUGCAGAAACAGUCAAAUAAAUGAAGAAAUGUAAAAUAAAUAAAUGAAUGUAGAAAUAUUAUUAUUAUAUUGUCUCUUCAGAGGGCAGAAAGAUUGCAUUUAAUCAGAGGUCAACACUCGUUUUUAUUACAUCACACAUGUUUUAACGGUGUUCUUUACUAAAGCAGAGGUUUAUUAUCACUGUUAUUACCACUGAAGUUACUGCAUAGGUGUAAACAUUGUUUGUUUAGCAAGAAAUAGUACUUCUAUAUCCUUAGAAAGUACCAGAAAUGUGCAGAAAGUAGCUUGAAAUGCAUUUUUGAAAAGAAACAACAGUGUGGUGUACAUUGUAAUGGAAAACUACAAAAGUACAAAAAACUACAUCUUUUGAAUCAUUGCUCCCACCCACAAGGUGCAGAACCAAAAACAAUAAGAGGAAUUUCACUUCAGGAAAAAUCGUCGAAUUUCAAGUUGAAUAAAGGUCAUUUAGAGGGUUUUCUAUGCAAAUUAAACAUAGUUGCCGGGUCAUUUUUGACAAGGCAAUACGAGGGUUAAAUUGUGGGGGUGUUUCCGAGUCCCUCCAAUUCCCGCUGCCUGCUGCAUAUUUAGGUCACGUGAUUCGAUAUCCCUACAUAACGUACAUAUGCAGAACACACGCCUGUGCUCAGCGAAAGGUCAGUUUUUAUUAAAGAUUUCAUCUGUCGGAAAUGAUACAACUACAUGGCCGAGAACUGCUCUCUGAGUGCUUUUCUUGUUUCCACUCUGGAUCUUUAUCAGCCACAAAUUGAAAAUAAAACCAGGUGGAAGAAAAGCCUUUUAUUACCGAUGAUAAAAUCCUGGUCUGAUGGAGGUGCAGCUCUGACCGUCGACAGGUUUUUCAAAUCACACCGGAGGUGAUUACGCCUCUUUAAUCCGCCUCCAACUCAUUUUUCUCAGGAAGCUUUUAGUGAAUCAGAGGUUCCCUGCUCACAUCUUCUCUGCGGUCCACUUCUGGCCGGCUAUUUUGGGCGGUUGCUGGGACAGGUAACAUCACCUGGGAAUUACCCGGGAUGCCACCGAAUGGCGAUAAAUCACAGCAAAUGAAGCUCAGGAGGGAGGAGGGGAAGGAAUCAGCAGCAGAAGUAACACGACUUCCUUGGUACGUCCUUCUGAGUGGCCUCGUUGUUCAGAGCAGCUGCAGACAGAAACAGUCGGUUAGUGUCGAAGCUUCCAAACAUCUGCAGCAGCUUUUAUUUCAGCCCAGAGCCUCACAGAUGAGCUCAGUUUGAGUCGGCAUGAAAGAAACGAGUGUUCAGCUGUGAAAACCAAGAAUUAACACAUCCGAGCUGAAAAAUACAGUCUGGUCUGAAUGCUUCUACAAAUAUGAGAGGAAAUAAAGAUGUUAAAAUCUG